This 1456-nucleotide ribosomal RNA is filed under the name Candidatus Phytoplasma trifolii. Its description in RNAcentral is "16S ribosomal RNA". It matches the Rfam family "Bacterial small subunit ribosomal RNA". Lineage: Bacteria; Bacillati; Mycoplasmatota; Mollicutes; Acholeplasmatales; Acholeplasmataceae. The record is from RNAcentral.
UUUAGUGGCGAACGGGUGAGUAACACGAUAAGUAACCUGCCUUUAAGACGAGGAUAACAACCGGAAACGGUUGCUAAGACUGGAUAGGAAACAAAAAGGCAUCUUUUUGUUUUUAAAAGACCUUCUUACGAAGGUAUGCUUAAAGAGGGGCUUGCGCCACAUUAGUUAGUUGGUAGAGUAAAAGCCUACCAAGACGAUGAUGUGUAGCUGGACUGAGAGGUUGAACAGCCACAUUGGGACUGAGACACGGCCCAAACUCCUACGGGAGGCAGCAGUAGGGAAUUUUCGGCAAUGGAGGAAACUCUGACCGAGCAACGCCGCGUGAACGAUGAAGUAUUUCGGUAUGUAAAGUUCUUUUAUUGAAGAAGAAAAAGUAGUGGAAAAACUAUAUUGACGUUAUUCAAUGAAUAAGCCCCGGCUAACUAUGUGCCAGCAGCCGCGGUAAGACAUAGGGGGCGAGCGUUAUCCGGAAUUAUUGGGCGUAAAGGGUGCGUAGGCUGUUAGAUAAGUCUAUAAUUUAAUUUCAGUGCUUAACGCUGUCUUGUUAUAGAAACUGUCUUGACUAGAGUGAGAUAGAGGCAAGCGGAAUUCCAUGUGUAGCGGUAAAAUGUGUAAAUAUAUGGAGGGAACACCAGAAGCGUAGGCGGCUUGCUGGGUCUUUACUGACGCUGAGGCACGAAAGCGUGGGUAGCAAACAGGAUUAGAUACCCUGGUAGUCCACGCCGUAAACGAUGAGUACUAAGUGGCGGGGUAAAACUCGGUACUGAAGGUAACACAUUAAGUACUCCGCCUGAGUAGUACGUACGCAAGUAUGAAACUUAAAGGAAAUUGACGGGACUCCGCACAAGCGGUGGAUCAUGUUGUUUAAUUCGAAGAUACACGAAAAAAUCUUACCAGGUCUUGACAUACUCUGCAAAGCUAUAGAAAUAUAGUGGAGGUUAUCAGGGAUACAGGUGGUGCAUGGUUGUCGUCAGUUCGUGUCGUGAGAUGUUAGGUUAAGUCCUAAAACGAGCGCAACCCUUGUCGUUAAUUGCCAGCACGUAAUGGUGGGGACUUUAACGAGACUGCCAAUUAAACAUUGGAGGAAGGUGAGGAUUACGUCAAAUCAUCAUGCCCCUUAUGAUCUGGGCUACAAACGUGAUACAAUGGCUGUGACAAAGAGUAGCUGAAACGCGAGUUUUUAGCCAAUCUCAAAAAAGCAGUCUCAGUUCGGAUUGAAGUCUGUAACUCGACUUCAUGAAGUUGGAAUCGCUAGUAAUCGCGAAUCAGCAUGUCGCGGUGAAUACGUUCUCGGGGUUUGUACACACCGCCCGUCAAACCACGAAAGUUAGCAAUACCCGAAAGCAGUAGCUUAACUUCGCAAGAAGAGGGAACUGUCUAAGGUAGGGUUGAUGAUUGGGGUUAAGUCGUAACAAGGUAUCCCUACCGGAAGGUGGGGAUGGAUCACCUCCUUUCU